Molecule: ribosomal RNA, 321 nt
Filed under: uncultured eukaryote
Lineage: Eukaryota
Description: partial 18S ribosomal RNA
Rfam family: Eukaryotic small subunit ribosomal RNA
Source: RNAcentral
CCCUUAGACACUCUAGGCGGCACGCGCGCUACAAUGGGUGGAAGACUGUGUUACUGCCCUCGAAAGAGGGGGUGAAUCACGAAUUCUCACCCGUGAAUGGGAUAGUUUGUUGCAAUUUUCGGACUUGAACUAGGAAUCCCUUGUAAGCAUGCUCAAGAAUAGUGUGCUGAAUACGUCCCUGCCGUUUGUACACACCGCCCGUCGUUUCUUCCGACUGAGUGAUCCGGUGAAUAAUUCGGACUGCAGCAGUGUUCAGUUCCUGAACGUUGCAGCGGAAAGUUUAGUGAACCUUAUCACUUAGAGGAAGGAGAAGUCGUAACA